Molecule: ribosomal RNA, 258 nt
Filed under: Bacillus velezensis
Lineage: Bacteria; Bacillati; Bacillota; Bacilli; Caryophanales; Bacillaceae
Description: partial 16S ribosomal RNA
Rfam family: Bacterial small subunit ribosomal RNA
Source: RNAcentral
CGGAGGAAGGUGGGGAGGACGUCAAAUCAUCAUGCCCCUUAUGACCUGGGCUACACACGUGCUACAAUGGACAGAACAAAGGGCAGCGAAACCGCGAGGUUAAGCCAAUCCCACAAAUCUGUUCUCAGUUCGGAUCGCAGUCUGCAACUCGACUGCGUGAAGCUGGAAUCGCUAGUAAUCGCGGAUCAGCAUGCCGCGGUGAAUACGUUCCCGGGCCUUGUACACACCGCCCGUCACACCACGAGAGUUUGUAACACC